Molecule: ribosomal RNA, 466 nt
Filed under: uncultured bacterium
Lineage: Bacteria
Description: partial 16S ribosomal RNA
Rfam family: Bacterial small subunit ribosomal RNA
Source: RNAcentral
GAUGAACGCUGGCGGCGUGCUUAACACAUGCAAGUCGAACGAUGAAGCCCAGCUUGCUGGGUGGAUUAGUGGCGAACGGGUGAGUAACACGUGAGUAACCUGCCCUUAACUCUGGGAUAAGCCUGGGAAACUGGGUCUAAUACCGGAUAGGAGCGUCCACCGCACGGUGGGUGUUGGAAAGAUUUAUCGGUUUUGGAUGGACUCGCGGCCUAUCAGCUUGUUGGUGAGGUAAUGGCUCACCAAGGCGACGACGGGUAGCCGGCCUGAGAGGGUGACCGGCCACACUGGGACUGAGACACGGCCCAGACUCCUACGGGAGGCAGCAGUGGGGAAUAUUGCACAAUGGGCGCAAGCCUGAUGCAGCGACGCCGCGUGAGGGAUGACGGCCUUCGGGUUGUAAACCUCUUUCAGUAGGGAAGAAGCGAGAGUGACGGUACCUGCAGAAGAAGCACCGGCUAACUACGUG